RNAcentral lists this ribosomal RNA (963 nucleotides) under Enterococcus avium. RNAcentral describes it as "bacterial SSU rRNA". It matches the Rfam family "Bacterial small subunit ribosomal RNA", at positions 1 to 946 of the family's 1533-position model. The record is from RNAcentral. Lineage: Bacteria; Bacillati; Bacillota; Bacilli; Lactobacillales; Enterococcaceae.
UUUAAUGAGAGUUUGAUCCUGGCUCAGGACGAACGCUGGCGGCGUGCCUAAUACAUGCAAGUAGAACGCUGAAGAGAGGAGCUUGCUCUUCUUGGAUGAGUUGCGAACGGGUGAGUAACGCGUAGGUAACCUGCCUUGUAGCGGGGGAUAACUAUUGGAAACGAUAGCUAAUACCGCAUAACAAUGGAUGACACAUGUCAUUUAUUUGAAAGGGGCAAUUGCUCCACUACAAGAUGGACCUGCGUUGUAUUAGCUAGUAGGUGAGGUAACGGCUCACCUAGGCGACGAUACAUAGCCGACCUGAGAGGGUGAUCGGCCACACUGGGACUGAGACACGGCCCAGACUCCUACGGGAGGCAGCAGUAGGGAAUCUUCGGCAAUGGGGGCAACCCUGACCGAGCAACGCCGCGUGAGUGAAGAAGGUUUUCGGAUCGUAAAGCUCUGUUGUAAGUCAAGAACGAGUGUGAGAGUGGAAAGUUCACACUGUGACGGUAGCUUACCAGAAAGGGACGGCUAACUACGUGCCAGCAGCCGCGGUAAUACGUAGGUCCCGAGCGUUGUCCGGAUUUAUUGGGCGUAAAGCGAGCGCAGGCGGUUUGAUAAGUCUGAAGUUAAAGGCUGUGGCUCAACCAUAGUUCGCUUUGGAAACUGUCAAACUUGAGUGCAGAAGGGGAGAGUGGAAUUCCAUGUGUAGCGGUGAAAUGCGUAGAUAUAUGGAGGAACACCGGUGGCGAAAGCGGCUCUCUGGUCUGUAACUGACGCUGAGGCUCGAAAGCGUGGGGAGCGAACAGGAUUAGAUACCCUGGUAGUCCACGCCGUAAACGAUGAGUGCUAGGUGUUGGAUCCUUUCCGGGAUUCAGUGCCGCAGCUAACGCAUUAAGCACUCCGCCUGGGGAGUACGACCGCAAGGUUGAAACUCAAAGGAAUUGACGGGGGCCCGCACAAGCGGUGGAGCAUGUGGUU